This 345-nucleotide long non-coding RNA is filed under the name Physcomitrium patens. RNAcentral describes it as "long non-coding RNA (PPAT_LNC003792)". The record is from RNAcentral. Lineage: Eukaryota; Viridiplantae; Streptophyta; Bryopsida; Funariales; Funariaceae.
AACCCCAAAUGGGGUCCGCGCUCGGGAUGCGGUGUGCGGGUCUCUUCGCUUUCGCAGCUCUGGCUAUAGUGGGAUUUGCAUGCGCUGAUACCUCCGAGCCCUCUCAAGGUGAAUUCACAACAUGGCUGAAGUACAUGUCGGAUACCUCUGACAACGACGCAGUGGAUGAUGUAGCACCUGUCGCGGAGGCGGAUACCGUCACAGGGACAUGGACUGGCGGUGACCUUUACAACCUUGACAAGGACCAUGGUGAUGAAGCUAAGAAGCCGAAGGUGAACAGGGACAGCAUUGGCGUGUUGCCGAAGCCCACAGGGAAGCCGAAGAAAGUUGUCGUUUCUCAGGAUG